AGCAGCCGCGGUAAUUCCAGCUCCAAUAGCGUAUAUUAAAGUUGUUGCAGUUAAAAAGCUCGUAGUUGAAUUUCGGGACUAAUAUGUCGGUCGUACUUUGUACGUACUAGCAUUAUUGGUUUCUCCCUUCUGACGAACCACGAUGUCAUUAAUUUGGUGUCAUGGGAAAUCAGGACUGUUACUUUGAAAAAAUUAGAGUGUUUAAAGCAAGCUCGCGCUUGAAUACAUUAGCAUGGAAUAAUGAAAUAGGACGUUUGAUUCUAUUUUGUUGGUUUCUAGGAUCGACGUAAUGAUUAAUAGGGAUAGUUGGGGGCAUUAGUAUUCAAUUGUCAGAGGUGAAAUUCUUGGAUUUAUUGAAGACUAACUACUGCGAAAGCAUUUGCCAAGGAUGUUUUCAUUAAUCAAGAACGAAAGUUAGGGGAUCGAAGACGAUCAGAUACCGUCGUAGUCUUAACCAUAAACUAUGCCGACUAGGGAUCGGAUGAUGUUAAUUUUUUAAUGACUCAUUCGGCGCCUUACG
RNAcentral lists this ribosomal RNA (520 nucleotides) under uncultured Glomus. Its description in RNAcentral is "SSU rRNA". It matches the Rfam family "Eukaryotic small subunit ribosomal RNA", at positions 569 to 1092 of the family's 1831-position model. Lineage: Eukaryota; Fungi; Glomeromycota; Glomeromycetes; Glomerales; Glomeraceae. The record is from RNAcentral.